Molecule: unclassified non-coding RNA, 430 nt
Filed under: soil metagenome
Description: partial contains 5.8S ribosomal RNA, internal transcribed spacer 2, and large subunit ribosomal RNA
Rfam family: 5.8S ribosomal RNA (bases 1-120)
Source: RNAcentral
GAUGAAGAACGUAGCGAAAUGCGAUACGUAAUGUGAAUUGCAGAAUUCAGUGAAUCAUCGAAUCUUUGAACGCAUAUUGCGCUCUCUGGUAUUCCGGAGAGCAUGCUUGUUUGAGUAUCAGUAAACACCUCAACUCCCUUUUCUUUUUUGAAAUUGGAGCUGGACUUGAGUGAUCCCAACGCUUUCUUCCAAGAAAGUGGCGGGUUGCUUGAAAUGCAGGUGCAGCUGAACUUUUCUCUGAGCUAUAAGCAUAUCUAUUUAGUCUGCCUAAAAAACAGAUUAUUACCUUUGCUGCAGCUAACAUAAAGGAGACUAGUUCUUGUGCUGACUGAUGCAGGAUUCACAGAGACAGCUUCGGCUGACUUUGUAAACUCGAUCUCAAAUCAAGUAAGACUACCCGCUGAACUUAAGAAUAUCAAUAAGCGGAGGA